RNAcentral lists this long non-coding RNA (1045 nucleotides) under Homo sapiens (human). RNAcentral describes it as "lung cancer associated transcript 1". Lineage: Eukaryota; Metazoa; Chordata; Mammalia; Primates; Hominidae. The record is from RNAcentral.
AAUCAACACUCCACUCAGACAAUGCCCAGACCUCCAGAAACCAUGUGUCAAGCUCGGAUUGCCUUAGACAGGUGCAAUUUAAGAACAGCUUUCAUCCUCUUUUCUCUCAUAUUGUCACACUAUGUGUUCUGACUUCUGGCUCCUUUCCUCACAAGAAGCUCACCCAGCUGGAACUCUUAUGGGACCUUGGCACCAGAGACCACAAAUUCCUCUUUGAAGUUUUCUAACAGCAACAAUGACAGAGUUUCGCUCUGUCGCCCAGGCUGGAGUGCAGUGGCGCGCGAUCUCGGUUCACUGCAAGCUCCACCUCCCGGGUUCACGCCAUUCUCCUGCCUCAGCCUCCUGAGUAGCUGGGACUACAGGCGCCCGCCACCACACCCAGGAAUCCAACUUGCUGUUUGCUAUCACAUGUGCUAUACAUGCUGUUGAUGAAACUGCUAAAGGGGCUGAAUGUGACUGACGUCUUUGGAAGGAUGAGACUUAGCGUGCCUGUACAGUUGUGUCCAAAUGCUGUCCUCAUCUCCCAAUGAAAAGCUGAACUAGGGCCAUGCCUGGGACAGACAGAGAAUGGCCUUCCAGCAGACAUGCCAAGAAGCAAGCCAGGGUCAGUGAGUGAAGAGGAGGGCAGGCCCAUUUGAAGCAACACAGUUUAUAUACAUGAAAAGAAAGAAGGAGAGAAGGAAGAAAGGAGGGCGGAAGGAAAGGAAGAAGGGAGAGAAGAAGAGAAGAAAGAAGCAGAGAAAGGAAGAGAAAAGAAAUUACGGCCAGUGCGGUGGCUCACGCCUGUAAUCCUAGCACUUUGGGAGGCCUAAGCGGGCUGAUCACCUGAGGUCAGGAGUUCGUAAGCCAGCCUGGCCAACAUGGUGAAACCCUAUCUCUACUAAAAAUACAAAAAUCAGCAGGGCAUGGUGGUGCGUGCCUGUAAUCCCAGCUACCUGGGAGGCUGAGGUAGGAGAAUCGCUGGAACCCGAGAGGCGGAGGCUGCAGUGAGUUGAGAUCAUGUCACUGCACUCCAGGCUGGGCAACAGAGUGAGACUCUGUCUCA